AGUGAACGCUGGCGGUAGGCCUAACACAUGCAAGUCGAACGGCAGCACAGGAGAGCUUUCUCUUUGGGUGGCGCGUGGCGGACGGGUGAGGAAUAUACCGGAAUCUGUCCAGUUGUGGGGGAUAACGCAGGGAAACUUACGCUAAUAUCGCACAUGCCCCCUGGGUGAAAGAGCAGGAUCGCAUGACCUCUUGCGCGUUGGUGAGCCGAUGUCGGAUUAGCUAGUUGGCGGGGUAAUGGCCCACCAAGGCGACGAUCCGUAGCUGGUCUGAGAGGAUGAUCAGCCACACUGGAACUGAGACACGGUCCAGACUCCUACGGGAGGCAGCAGUGGGGAAUAUUGGACAAUGGGCGCAAGCCUGAUCCAGCCAUACCGCGUGGGUGAAGAAGGCCUUCGGGUUGUAAAGCCCUUUUGUUGGGAAAGAAAACCAUCAGGCUAAUACCCUGGGAGGCUGACGGUACCCAAAGAAUAAGCACCGGCUAACUUCGUG
RNAcentral lists this ribosomal RNA (490 nucleotides) under uncultured bacterium. Its description in RNAcentral is "partial 16S ribosomal RNA". It matches the Rfam family "Bacterial small subunit ribosomal RNA", at positions 29 to 507 of the family's 1533-position model. The record is from RNAcentral.